Molecule: long non-coding RNA, 909 nt
Organism: Larimichthys crocea (large yellow croaker)
Lineage: Eukaryota; Metazoa; Chordata; Actinopteri; Sciaenidae
Exons: 5
Source: RefSeq, a predicted model, not a curated record
CAUCCUCCUCCUCCUCUCCUAACCGACCACAUGUCCGUUCGUGAAGGUCUUUGUGUGAGAUUAGACAUAGUUUUUGUUUGGAAGUUCUCCUGUUUUUGUUAGUUAGGAAGACUUCAACAACACAAAAAUCAACAUCUUUCAACAGGAACUGGACGUUCUACCCUUCAUGAGACAUAUCAGGUGCAGAGGAGACAUUUCAGGUGCCGGAGGAGGCUGAGGACAUUAAUGUACUCCUUCUGUGUAGAACCAUUUUCAACCAACCCAACUAACUUCUACCUAUUGAGCAUCAAGUAUCCAUGUCCUUUUCUUCCUCCUCACUACCUGGGUUGUGCACCUUGCAGGUGUGUCAGUCUUCGGUUUGGAUAUCAUUGGCAAAGAAUGGGCAAAGAUGUGGAGCCUGGGUGGAGGUGGAUGAAGCCUAACAGCUCCAACAAGCCACCUGUGAUGGCACUCACCUGUUAAUCCGCCUUAAUAUGAUUUGAACAGCUGUGUGGCAGCUCAACACCGUUAAUGGAUCCUGGAGAUACUCUGGCUCCUGGCCAUCCUAAACCUCUUCAUCUGUCAGAGGUGAGGAGGAUGGAGAAGGCUCUCUAACUCACUAACUUAUCCUGCUCGGGAAGGUGGAGGAGGAUGGCCGGAAGCAAGACAGAUGAAAUACCACCGGCGGUUCAAACUGAUAAACUUUACCAUUUUUCUGUAAAUAGAGACUCUCAUGAUCCACAAAAAACUUUGGACAGAAGCAACAAAAGACUGAAAAAAGCACCUAUUAACAGGUAAACAGGUUCAUCUGUAACAGGUGGUAGUAUCGUGGUUGGGUAUGAAAGAGGCGUCCUUGAAAGGCUCAGGCGCUCACAAGAAAUUACGAGGCAAAUAGUCCAACAGUUUCAGAACAAUGUUUGUCAUUGAUAU